RNAcentral lists this ribosomal RNA (253 nucleotides) under uncultured prokaryote. RNAcentral's name for it is "partial 16S ribosomal RNA". It matches the Rfam family "Bacterial small subunit ribosomal RNA", at positions 525 to 777 of the family's 1533-position model. The record is from RNAcentral.
ACGGAGGGUGCGAGCGUUGUCCGGAAUCACUGGGCGUAAAGGGCGCGUAGGCGGCCUCUUAAGCGUGCGGUGAAAGCUCGGGGCUCAACUCCGAGUCGGCCGUGCGAACUGGGGGGCUGGAGCACAGUAGAGGCAGAUGGAAUUCCAGGUGUAGCGGUGAAAUGCGUAGAUAUCUGGAGGAACACCGGUGGCGAAGGCGGCAUCCUGGACCGGUAUUGACGCUGAGGCGCGAAAGCCAGGGGAGCAAACGGGA